This 75-nucleotide transfer RNA is filed under the name Saprospira grandis DSM 2844. RNAcentral describes it as "tRNA-Gln". It matches the Rfam family "tRNA". Rfam says of the family: Transfer RNA (tRNA) molecules are approximately 80 nucleotides in length. Their secondary structure includes four short double-helical elements and three loops (D, anti-codon, and T loops). Further hydrogen bonds mediate the characteristic L-shaped molecular structure. tRNAs have two regions of fundamental functional importance: the anti-codon, which is responsible for specific mRNA codon recognition, and the 3' end, to which the tRNAs corresponding amino acid is attached (by aminoacyl-tRNA synthetases). tRNAs cope with the degeneracy of the genetic code in two manners: having more than one tRNA (with a specific anti-codon) for a particular amino acid; and 'wobble' base-pairing, i.e. permitting non-standard base-pairing at the 3rd anti-codon position. The record is from RNAcentral. Lineage: Bacteria; Pseudomonadati; Bacteroidota; Saprospiria; Saprospirales; Saprospiraceae. RNAcentral also lists the same sequence under 1 other name.
UGGCCUAUGGUGUAAUUGGUAACACAGCAGAUUUUGGUUCUGUCAUUCUAGGUUCGAGUCCUAGUAGGCCAACAA